GACGAACCGUGCGAACGUUGUUCGGAAUCACUGGGCUUAAAGGGCGCGUAGGCGGGCUCAAAAGUCAGGGGUGAAAUCCCACGGCUCAACCGUGGAAGUGCCUUUGAUACUGUGAGUCUCGAGGGAGGUAGGGGCGUGCGGAACUUCCGGUGGAGCGGUGAAAUGCGUAGAGAUCGGAAAGAACACCAACGGCGAAAGCACUCUGCUGGGCCGACACUGACACUGAGAGACGAAAGCUAGGGGAGCGAAUGGG
RNAcentral lists this ribosomal RNA (253 nucleotides) under uncultured bacterium. RNAcentral's name for it is "partial 16S ribosomal RNA". It matches the Rfam family "Bacterial small subunit ribosomal RNA", at positions 524 to 776 of the family's 1533-position model. The record is from RNAcentral.